This is a non-coding RNA of Otolemur garnettii (small-eared galago), 108 nucleotides long. The record is from Rfam. Lineage: Eukaryota; Metazoa; Chordata; Mammalia; Primates; Galagidae.
UUUGGCAGCACAUAUACUAAAAAAAAAAAAAUUGGAAUGAUACAGAGAAGAUUAGCAUGGCCCCUGCACAAGGAUGAUACGCAAAUUCGUGAAGCAUUCCAUAAAAAA